UUCAUAGGAUAGACAAUAGCAAUAUCAUCACAGAUGUUUCUUCAUGGGGAGAGACAGCCGUGUUCACCUACAAGUAAAAUAUGAAAAAGAAAAAAAGGGCAUCCAAAUCAUCAAGGAUGGUCAGAAGUAGAAUAAUUUUGGAGUAAGCAUCUCUGGAAACAGGCAAAGAGAGCAAAGUGAAUAGUGUGAUUUGCUUAGAGGACAAUGCUGCUACAAAAACCUGUUCCACUCCAAGGCCAACUGCAGUUUUGAGCCAUAUCCAAAGAGGGAAAAGCAGAGACUGAUUUAAACUGGCCUGUGUACUAUCCCAAACUCACCAAUCAAAUAAGUCAUUUCCUCCCCCAGGAGAGGGGAACCAAGGAUGUCCUUCCGCAUGAAAAUGUCAGAACGAGAAAGAGAAGAAAAGGAAAUUGUUGAAGAAUCUAGGAGUGUUUGAAAGAGGAAGAGACUGCAUUGUGCUCCCCAGAUCAAUGGUUGAUAAGCUGAAGUUGUCCUCACACCAUUAAGAGACACAGUGGUAAAUCACAUGAUAGGUGUCACAGGAAGUUAAACUGUAUAAACAGAGAGACCAGUGCCUACUUUUUUUUUUUUUUUUGAGACGGAGUCUCGCUCUGUCGCCCAGGCUAGAGUGCAGUGGCGCGAUCUCUGCUCACUGCAAGCUCCGCCUGCCGGGUUCACGCCACUCUCCUGCCUCAGCCUCCGGAGUAGCUGGGACUACAGGCACCGGCCACCACGCCCGGCUAAUUUUUUGUAUUUUUAGUAGCGACGGGGUUUCACCGUGGUCUCCAUCUCCUGACCUCGUGAUCCGCCCGCCUCGGCCUCCCAAAGUGCUGGUAUUACAGGUGUCAGCCACCGCGCCUGACCAACAGUAAAAAAGGAUGAGGUGAACUGCCUUGGUCAGACUCUGAGAAAUACUCACAGUUCCUCCUUCCUCCUGGCCAAGUCCUUGAAGAAUCAAAGCAGCAAAUAAACAAGGUGGAACAAGAGUGAAAAUGAGAAUGCAUUUAUCUUCUCCACUGAACGACCCCAAGUCCUGUGUCAGGGCUGAGGUAAGGAGAGAUGAGAGUCUUUGAGCUGAAUGUGUGAUUGAAUCUUUGAUUUAAACUAGCUGGAACUCUUGAAUACUAAAAUUCAAUCUCAGGUAUUAAAAUUUGUAUUUUCUCAUAAUAAAAGUUAACUAUAAAUCUGUGGGAUCUGUUGAGGGCACAGAACACUUCCAACAAAGUAUAUUUGAGAGCAACAUAAGUGAGAAAAAUAGACAUGUUUUGUUUGUACACCUGAAGUCCAGUCUGUCAAUAAGUUGGCUACUUAUUUUCAUUAUCACAAAAUUUUAUCUAUCAAUUCCACCCACCUAUUUUAGUAAGGCCUUAGAUUUUAUGACCUAUCAUUGCUUUCUCUUAUAAAAAUACCAAAUUAAGACUACUCUGUAAGGGUUUUUGUUUGUUUGUUUGUUUAUUUGUUUGUUUGUUUGUUUUGGUUUUUAUAUCCCAAC
This 1492-nucleotide long non-coding RNA is filed under the name Homo sapiens (human). RNAcentral's name for it is "HSALNT0031532". The record is from RNAcentral. Lineage: Eukaryota; Metazoa; Chordata; Mammalia; Primates; Hominidae.